This 942-nucleotide ribosomal RNA is filed under the name Triticum aestivum (bread wheat). RNAcentral describes it as "partial small subunit ribosomal RNA". The record is from RNAcentral. Lineage: Eukaryota; Viridiplantae; Streptophyta; Magnoliopsida; Poales; Poaceae.
AUGAGCGCACAGCGGUGGUCGGAGCUGCCCUACACCCGUGUUGCCUCGGUGGCCAUGCGGCGCUACAAGGUCCUCUUCAAGAAGCACGACGGGGAGCGCUUCGACAAGUACCUGGAGGACGUGGAGGCCGGCAAGGCCAAGAUCUCGGCGGGGGCGCUGCUGCCCCACGAGAUCGCGGCGGCCGCCUACCGUGGCGAGGACGACGACGUGUCCGAGCUGCAGUGGCGCCGCAUGGUGGACGACCUCCGCUCCAAGGGCUCGUCGUGCAAUUGCAUCUCAGUCUGCGACGUGUCCGGCAGCAUGACCGGCACUCCCAUGGAGGUGUGCAUUGCGCUCGGCGUGCUCACGUCGGAGCUCAGCGAGGAGCCGUGGGCGGGCAAGGUGAUCACCUUCAGCGAGAGGCCUGAGCUCCAGCUCAUCAACGGCAAGACCCUCCGUGAGAAGAUGAGGUUCGUGCAGCGUAUGGAGUGGGACAUGAACACCAACUUCCAAGCAGUGUUCGACCAGAUCCUCCGCACGGCGGUGGAAGCCCGGCUGGCGCCAGAGAAGAUGAUCAGGACUGUGUUUGUGUACAGCGACAUGGAGUUCGACGAGGCGUCGGGGCACGAGGAUGACGACGACGAUGACUACUCUGAGGACGACGAUGAGGAGGACGAGGAGGAGGAAAGGCAGCGGUCGUGGAACACAGAUUAUAAGGUGAUCUGCCAGAAGUUUAGGGACGCCGGGUACGGGGACGUGGUGCCGCAAAUCAUCUUCUGGAACCUGCGCGACUCCAAAUCGAUGCCGGUGACGUCGACGCAGCCCGGGGUGGCCAUGGUGAGCGGCUUCUCCAAGAACUUCCUCAAGAUCUUCCUGAAGAGGGACGGCGUGGUGAACCCCGAGGCCAUUAUGAUGGAGGCCAUCGCCGGCGACGAGUACCAGAAGCUGGCUGUGUUCGACUAG